UGCUCUCCGGACAGUCCCGGGCCAGAGAGGGGCGUGUGCUCAAGAAGCAGGUGUCUGCCCCCCUUACUGCAGCUCAGAGAUGGGGGUAGACAGACUGUGUCUAAGCUUUCUGGGGUACAUUGUCUCCCAGGGUAAACCCUGCCUCCCAGGUCUAAACAAGAUGCACAGCACACAUGAGCGUGUUCAGAAAGCCCAGCUAUGACGGAGCACCCACUGCGUGCCAGACCCACAAAAGGCCCAGGCAACAGCAUUUCCAUUGAAAACAGAACACUUCAAAGCAAACUGGUCAAAACAUCUAAGAGACCUUACAAUCCAGGAUGAGGUGAAAUCUCUGGGGAAUUCUGAUUCUAUCAACUCAACAGUAAAAAGACAUGUUAAGAGAAUUGAGAAAAGAUAAAGAUAGCUGGGCAUUCGAUUAUAUUAGCUAAUUGUUUGGAGUGUGAUAAAAAUAAAAUUAUCAGUGGAAUUCUCUAUUACCAUGGAGUGUUUAUAGGUGAAAUUACAUGACUGGAAUUUGCUGUAAAACAUUCCUAGAGAGAAAAUUAAAAAUUACAGGAGGUAGGUAACAGCUGGCUAUUGUAGCUAAUUGUUGAAACCCUAGUUGGGCUCCCAAA
Long non-coding RNA from Condylura cristata (star-nosed mole), 614 nucleotides. RefSeq lists it as uncharacterized. The transcript is spliced from 4 exons. NCBI's taxonomy places the organism in Eukaryota, Metazoa, Chordata, Mammalia, Eulipotyphla, Talpidae. The record is from RefSeq and is a predicted model, not a curated record.